This 492-nucleotide long non-coding RNA is filed under the name Anas platyrhynchos platyrhynchos (common mallard). RNAcentral's name for it is "lncRNA (ENSAPLG00000024080.1)". Lineage: Eukaryota; Metazoa; Chordata; Aves; Anseriformes; Anatidae. The record is from RNAcentral.
AGCCUUGUGGAACAUAAAGUUGGCCCCAUUAUGCAAGCACGUUACCUUGUGGUCUUUAAUCAGAUCAUUUACUUCUUGUAUAUGCUUUCCCUUCCAACUCUUGGAUUAUUUUGCAAAAUCUACAGCUGGGUGUCACAUUCCGAUCGUGGUGUCAUUGCUUCUCAGCACGCAGACAACACCGCUUGCUUUUACAUCACUUUUCUUUGCUGCUACAUUCCAGUAUUAUUACAUUUCAGUAUGCCACACCCAUUGGAUCCCACUGAGACUGACUGGAUAAAGAAGUAGAGAGGAGAAAAAGAGACAGUUGGGGUUCUGUCGGUUGGUUGAUUUUUUUUUUUUUUGUGUGUGUGUGUUUUUUUGCUUGUUUUCAACAGGAUUUACCAAGAACUUGUUCACACCAUUUUACUAUUGGAAAGCAGCUUGUAGUUUUGUAGUAAAGGCUAUUUUCACCAAAGAAAUAAAAUGUUUUUGGAUGUGUAUUGAAGUAUGAUU